RNAcentral lists this ribosomal RNA (347 nucleotides) under uncultured bacterium. Its description in RNAcentral is "bacterial SSU rRNA". It matches the Rfam family "Bacterial small subunit ribosomal RNA", at positions 917 to 1267 of the family's 1533-position model. The record is from RNAcentral.
GGACCCGCACAAGUAGUGGAGCAUGUGGUUUAAUUCGAAGAUACGCGAGGAACCUUACCAGGGCUUAAAUGUAGUGGGACAGGUCUAGAGAUAGACCCUUCUUCGGACUCAUUACAAGGUGCUGCAUGGUUGUCGUCAGCUCGUGCCGUGAGGUGUCAGGUUAAGUCCUAUAACGAGCGCAACCCCUAUCGUUAGUUGCCAGCGGGUAAUGCCGGGAACUCUAACGGAACUGCCGGUGCAAACCGUGAGGAAGGUGGGGACGACGUCAAAUCAUCACGGCCCUUACGUCCUGGCCACACACGUGCUACAAUGGUAGGUACAGAGGGAAGCCACCCCGCGAGGGGGAG